UUACGACCAUAUAACGUUAAAACACCGGUUCCCUUACGAUCACUGAAUUUAAGCAACGUCGACCCUGGUCAGUACCUAGAUGGGUGACUGCUUGGAAAUAUCAAGUGCUAUA
Non-coding RNA from Acanthosepion pharaonis, 112 nucleotides. Lineage: Eukaryota; Metazoa; Mollusca; Cephalopoda; Sepiida; Sepiidae. The record is from the annotation of a GenBank genome assembly.